GAAAUAAUUUAUAUAAAGCUUCUAACUUUAUUUUUAGAUAUAAAACAUAUCUUUAUUUCU
Molecule: transfer RNA, 60 nt
Filed under: Bombus waltoni
Lineage: Eukaryota; Metazoa; Arthropoda; Insecta; Hymenoptera; Apidae
Description: tRNA-Ser
Source: RNAcentral